GACCCGUGGCAAGCGUUGUUCGGAUUUACUGGGCGUACAGGGAGCGUAGGCGGUUGGGUAAGCCCUCCGUGAAAUCUCCGGGCCUAACCCGGAAAGGGCGGAGGGGACUGCUCGGCUAGAGGAUGGGAGAGGAGCGCGGAAUUCCCGGUGUAGCGGUGAAAUGCGUAGAGAUCGGGAGGAAGGCCGGUGGCGAAGGCGGCGCUCUGGAACAUUUCUGACGCUGAGGCUCGAAAGCGUGGGGAGCAAACAGGAUUAGAUACCCUGGUAGUCCACGCCUUAAACGAUGGAUACUAAGUGUCGGCGGGUUACCGCCGGUGCCGCAGCUAACGCAGUAAGUAUCCCGCCUGGGAAGUACGGCCGCAAGGUUG
RNAcentral lists this ribosomal RNA (368 nucleotides) under uncultured bacterium. Its description in RNAcentral is "bacterial SSU rRNA". It matches the Rfam family "Bacterial small subunit ribosomal RNA", at positions 526 to 896 of the family's 1533-position model. The record is from RNAcentral.